This 100-nucleotide transfer RNA is filed under the name Fibroporia radiculosa. It matches the Rfam family "tRNA". Rfam says of the family: Transfer RNA (tRNA) molecules are approximately 80 nucleotides in length. Their secondary structure includes four short double-helical elements and three loops (D, anti-codon, and T loops). Further hydrogen bonds mediate the characteristic L-shaped molecular structure. tRNAs have two regions of fundamental functional importance: the anti-codon, which is responsible for specific mRNA codon recognition, and the 3' end, to which the tRNAs corresponding amino acid is attached (by aminoacyl-tRNA synthetases). tRNAs cope with the degeneracy of the genetic code in two manners: having more than one tRNA (with a specific anti-codon) for a particular amino acid; and 'wobble' base-pairing, i.e. permitting non-standard base-pairing at the 3rd anti-codon position. The record is from Rfam by way of RNAcentral. Lineage: Eukaryota; Fungi; Basidiomycota; Agaricomycetes; Polyporales; Fibroporiaceae.
GGCGGAAUGGCCGAGCGGUCUAAGGCGCUAGAAUCAGGUUCUUACGAGGAUCUUUCGUAUCUAGUCCGAAAGGGCGUGGGUUCGAAUCCCACUUCCGUCA